RNAcentral lists this ribosomal RNA (692 nucleotides) under uncultured bacterium. RNAcentral describes it as "bacterial SSU rRNA". It matches the Rfam family "Bacterial small subunit ribosomal RNA", at positions 32 to 715 of the family's 1533-position model. The record is from RNAcentral.
AACGCUAGCUACAGGCUUAACACAUGCAAGUCGAGGGGCAGCACGGGAGUAGCAAUACAACUGGUGGCGACCGGCGCACGGGUGAGUAACGCGUAUGCAACCUACCUAUCAGAGGGGAAUAACCCGGCGAAAGUCGGACUAAUACCGCAUAAAACAGGGGCACCGCAUGGUGAUAUUUGUUAAAGAAAUUCGCUGAUAGAUGGGCAUGCGUUCCAUUAGGUAGUUGGUGAGGUAACGGCUCACCAAGCCGACGAUGGAUAGGGGAACUGAGAGGUUGGUCCCCCACACUGGUACUGAGACACGGACCAGACUCCUACGGGAGGCAGCAGUGAGGAAUAUUGGUCAAUGGGCGAGAGCCUGAACCAGCCAAGUCGCGUGAAGGAAGAAGGAUCUAUGGUUCGUAAACUUCUUUUGCAGGGGAAUAAAGUGCAGGACGUGUCCUGUUUUGUAUGUACCCUGAGAAUAAGGAUCGGCUAACUCCGUGCCAGCAGCCGCGGUAAUACGGAGGAUCCGAGCGUUAUCCGGAUUUAUUGGGUUUAAAGGGUGCGUAGGUGGUUUGAUAAGUCAGCGGUGAAAGUUUGCAGCUUAGCUGUAAAAAUGCCGUUGAAACUGUCAGACUUGAGUGUAAAUGAGGUAGGCGGAACGCGUGGUGUAGCGGUGAAAUGCAUAGACAUCACGAAGAACUCCGAUUG